RNAcentral lists this ribosomal RNA (785 nucleotides) under uncultured bacterium. Its description in RNAcentral is "bacterial SSU rRNA". It matches the Rfam family "Bacterial small subunit ribosomal RNA", at positions 97 to 898 of the family's 1533-position model. The record is from RNAcentral.
GGCGAACGGGUGCGUAACACGUGGGCAACCUGCCCCUGACUCUGGGAUAACCCCGGGAAACCGGAGCUAAUACCGGAUACUCUCGGCCCUCCUCAUGGUGGGUCGAGGAAAGAUCUGUCGGUCAGGGAUGGGCCCGCGGCCUAUCAGCUUGUUGGUGGGGUAACGGCCUACCAAGGCGACGACGGGUAGCUGGUCUGAGAGGACGACCAGCCACACUGGAACUGAGAUACGGUCCAGACUCCUACGGGAGGCAGCAGUGGGGAAUAUUGCACAAUGGGCGAAAGCCUGAUGCAGCGACGCCGCGUGAGGGAUGAAGGCCUUCGGGUUGUAAACCGCUUUCAGCAGGGACGAAAUUGACGGUACCUGCAGAAGAAGCCCCGGCCAACUACGUGCCAGCAGCCGCGGUAACACGUAGGGGGCAAGCGUUGUCCGGAUUUAUUGGGCGUAAAGAGCUCGUAGGCGGCUCGGUAAGUCGGGUGUGAAACCUCCAGGCUCAACCUGGAGACGCCACCUGAUACUGCUGUGGCUAGAGUCCGGUAGGGGAGUGUGGAACUCCUGGUGUAGCGGUGAAAUGCGCAGAUAUCAGGAAGAACACCAGCGGCGAAGGCGGCACUCUGGGCCGGAACUGACGCUGAGGAGCGAAAGCGUGGGUAGCAAACAGGAUUAGAUACCCUGGUAGUCCACGCCGUAAACGUUGGGCACUAGGUGUGGGUUCCAACCAACGGGAUCCGUGCCGCAGCUAACGCAUUAAGUGCCCGCCUGGGGAGUACGGCCGCAAGGCUAAA